GGUCAGUAAGAAUCCACCGAUCCCAUCCUGAUGACCGACGACCGACAAGCCAAAGGAGUAUAUCGGAGCUCACUGGAUUUUGAUAAUCUAUUACGGUCUUGGAAACCUUUUUAUUGUUUAAUGGACUCAGAUAUGGAUGUUUCCUUUUCCAGGCGAGUCCUGCUACUGAGAUGCAGCAGCGGCACUUAUUUUUUCUAUCUUACUAUGCUUGCACAUUUAUCUGUCGCUAUUGACAGAAUUUCGUGUAUCUAAACAGAUGUAUUUUUCUUUAUGUCAUUCUUACCGACUUUCAAUUAACAACCACUAUCAUGCCUCACGUCAAGCUAGUUGGGGCGACUCUAUGAAUCUUCAUUAUCUUUUUUC
This 363-nucleotide unclassified non-coding RNA is filed under the name Hevea brasiliensis (rubber tree). The record is from RNAcentral. Lineage: Eukaryota; Viridiplantae; Streptophyta; Magnoliopsida; Malpighiales; Euphorbiaceae.